RNAcentral lists this long non-coding RNA (207 nucleotides) under Nicotiana benthamiana. Its description in RNAcentral is "long non-coding RNA (NBEN_LNC024082)". Lineage: Eukaryota; Viridiplantae; Streptophyta; Magnoliopsida; Solanales; Solanaceae. The record is from RNAcentral.
AAAAAGGCAACGAAAAGAGGAAGAGAGUUUUUGGAGACGGAGUUCGGGAUUUCGUUCGUGGUUCUGUGUUCGUGGUUCUAAAAGGCUAGUAUUGCUAGCUUUUGAAACCAGUAGAUCAUACAUAUUCUCUUUAUUGUGAAACCUUAUAAAAGGUAACGCUAAAUCUUUUGGUACAGUUUAAACAUGAUAUGAGAUCUAUGUCUUCGC